UACGAGUGGUGCAAACGUUAUUCGGAAUUACUGGGCUUAAAGGGUGUGUAGGCUGCCAUGAAGGUCUGCUGUGACAUACCACGGCUCAACCGUGGAACGGCGUUGGAAACCACAUGGCUGGAAUGAGACAGAGGUGAGCGGAACUGAUGGUGGAGCGGUGAAAUGCGUUGAUAUCAUCAGGAACACCGGUGGCGAAAGCGGCUCACUGGGUCUUUAUUGACGCUGAUGCACGAAAGCCAGGGGAGCAAACGGG
Molecule: ribosomal RNA, 253 nt
Filed under: uncultured bacterium
Lineage: Bacteria
Description: partial 16S ribosomal RNA
Rfam family: Bacterial small subunit ribosomal RNA
Source: RNAcentral